UGGGCUUGGAUUUGGAGGGUUAAAUUGCUGGCUCUUUUUUUUGAUUCAACUCCUCUUGAAUGCAUUACCUUGAACCCUUGGGGAUUGACCUUAUCGGUGUGAUAAUCAUCUAUGCCGUGGUUGUCUGAGGUGGGAUCGGCUUCUAAUGGUGCAAGUCCCUUCAGGGGGAUGAUUUUCUAAUGACCUU
This 187-nucleotide ribosomal RNA is filed under the name Taiwanofungus camphoratus. RNAcentral describes it as "internal transcribed spacer 2". The record is from RNAcentral. Lineage: Eukaryota; Fungi; Basidiomycota; Agaricomycetes; Polyporales; Taiwanofungaceae.